ACAGACGAGGAGCUUGCUCCUCUGACGUUAGCGGCGGACGGGUGAGUAACACGUGGAUAACCUACCUAUAAGACUGGGAUAACUUCGGGAAACCGGAGCUAAUACCGGAUAAUAUAUUGAACCGCAUGGUUCAAUAGUGAAAGACGGUUUUGCUGUCACUUAUAGAUGGAUCCGCGCCGCAUUAGCUAGUUGGUAAGGUAACGGCUUACCAAGGCAACGAUGCGUAGCCGACCUGAGAGGGUGAUCGGCCACACUGGAACUGAGACACGGUCCAGACUCCUACGGGAGGCAGCAGUAGGGAAUCUUCCGCAAUGGGCGAAAGCCUGACGGAGCAACGCCGCGUGAGUGAUGAAGGUCUUCGGAUCGUAAAACUCUGUUAUUAGGGAAGAACAAAUGUGUAAGUAACUAUGCACGUCUUGACGGUACCUAAUCAGAAAGCCACGGCUAACUACGUGCCAGCAGCCGCGGUAAUACGUAGGUGGCAAGCGUUAUCCGGAAUUAUUGGGCGUAAAGCGCGCGUAGGCGGUUUUUUAAGUCUGAUGUGAAAGCCCACGGCUCAACCGUGGAGGGUCAUUGGAAACUGGAAAACUUGAGUGCAGAAGAGGAAAGUGGAAUUCCAUGUGUAGCGGUGAAAUGCGCAGAGAUAUGGAGGAACACCAGUGGCGAAGGCGACUUUCUGGUCUGUAACUGACGCUGAUGUGCGAAAGCGUGGGGAUCAAACAGGAUUAGAUACCCUGGUAGUCCACGCCGUAAACGAUGAGUGCUAAGUGUUAGGGGGUU
RNAcentral lists this ribosomal RNA (780 nucleotides) under Staphylococcus epidermidis. RNAcentral's name for it is "bacterial SSU rRNA". It matches the Rfam family "Bacterial small subunit ribosomal RNA", at positions 69 to 832 of the family's 1533-position model. Lineage: Bacteria; Bacillati; Bacillota; Bacilli; Caryophanales; Staphylococcaceae. The record is from RNAcentral.